CUUUUACAAUGAAGAGUUUGAUCCUGGCUCAGGAUGAACGCUAGCUACAGGCUUAACACAUGCAAGUCGAGGGGCAGCAUUUUAGUUUGCUUGCAAACUAAAGAUGGCGACCGGCGCACGGGUGAGUAACACGUAUCCAACCUGCCGAUAACUCGGGGAUAGCCUUUCGAAAGAAAGAUUAAUAUCCGAUGGUAUAUUUUCUCCGCAUGGUGAGAAUAUUAAAGAAUUUCGGUUAUCGAUGGGGAUGCGUUCCAUUAGUUUGUUGGCGGGGUAACGGCCCACCAAGACCACGAUGGAUAGGGGUUCUGAGAGGAAGGUCCCCCACAUUGGAACUGAGACACGGUCCAAACUCCUACGGGAGGCAGC
This 366-nucleotide ribosomal RNA is filed under the name Bacteroides ovatus. Its description in RNAcentral is "bacterial SSU rRNA". It matches the Rfam family "Bacterial small subunit ribosomal RNA", at positions 1 to 352 of the family's 1533-position model. The record is from RNAcentral. Lineage: Bacteria; Pseudomonadati; Bacteroidota; Bacteroidia; Bacteroidales; Bacteroidaceae.